RNAcentral lists this long non-coding RNA (605 nucleotides) under Homo sapiens (human). Its description in RNAcentral is "HSALNT0302583". The record is from RNAcentral. Lineage: Eukaryota; Metazoa; Chordata; Mammalia; Primates; Hominidae.
CUUAGCCUCCCAAAGUGCUGGGAUUACAGGUGUGAGCGCCUGACCUUUUGCCAUCUCUUUGCAUCGAUCUUUGCUUUUGUUUCUCUCUGUGUGUCUCCUUGCCUCUCUCCCUGUCACUGUCUCUCUCUCUCCCCUGCCUCCCUCUUGGUCUCUUUUUUUUGCUGUCUCUUUCUGAUGACCUUGUUCCCAUCUCUGUGCGUGUGUGGCUCUCUCCCUGUCCAUCUCUUACCAUCUCUGCCUUCCUCUCCCAGGUCUUAAACGAAUAUUUCCACAAUGUCUGUGAACUGGACCUGGUGUUCAACUUCUACAAGGUGGAAUGUUUCCCACUUAAGAGCCCAGUGGUCCCGGAAAGUAAAGAGAUCGGAAGUCAGGUGGACGGACAGAGUCGGAUGGAGCAAAGAAGCCCGGCACACACCAACAGAGAGAACGACAUAGCGCGGGAAGGAGGGUCCGAGGAGACACAUUCCAAACCCGGAAAGGGAAAUUUGGAAUUUAGGUUUAGGGUAAGGAGAGAUUAAAUAGAGCUGGGAUACCGGGUUUCUACCCUGGGAGAUGAAUACGCUCAAGCUGGCUGGACAAGACACCUUAUGACAAUACAGUGAACG